This 472-nucleotide ribosomal RNA is filed under the name Serratia sp. ISTD04. RNAcentral's name for it is "bacterial SSU rRNA". It matches the Rfam family "Bacterial small subunit ribosomal RNA", at positions 1 to 467 of the family's 1533-position model. Lineage: Bacteria; Pseudomonadati; Pseudomonadota; Gammaproteobacteria; Enterobacterales; Yersiniaceae. The record is from RNAcentral.
UUUAAUUGAAGAGUUUGAUCAUGGCUCAGAUUGAACGCUGGCGGCAGGCUUAACACAUGCAAGUCGAGCGGUAGCACAGGGGAGCUUGCUCCCCGGGUGACGAGCGGCGGACGGGUGAGUAAUGUCUGGGAAACUGCCUGAUGGAGGGGGAUAACUACUGGAAACGGUAGCUAAUACCGCAUAACGUCGCAAGACCAAAGAGGGGGACCUUCGGGCCUCUUGCCAUCAGAUGUGCCCAGAUGGGAUUAGCUAGUAGGUGGGGUAAUGGCUCACCUAGGCGACGAUCCCUAGCUGGUCUGAGAGGAUGACCAGCCACACUGGAACUGAGACACGGUCCAGACUCCUACGGGAGGCAGCAGUGGGGAAUAUUGCACAAUGGGCGCAAGCCUGAUGCAGCCAUGCCGCGUGUGUGAAGAAGGCCUUCGGGUUGUAAAGCACUUUCAGCGAGGAGGAAGGUGGUGAACUUAAUACG